This 2153-nucleotide long non-coding RNA is filed under the name Capsicum annuum. RNAcentral describes it as "long non-coding RNA (CANN_LNC005280)". Lineage: Eukaryota; Viridiplantae; Streptophyta; Magnoliopsida; Solanales; Solanaceae. The record is from RNAcentral.
UUUAGGGUCAUUUUCAUGUAUUAAGUCUUAUUUAAAUGUUAGUUAGCACAAAUAUACAAGCUACAAAAAAAAUGAUGCAGGAAUUAAAAUUGGGCCCUCAGUUGGCCCAUUAAUGAAGCUGCCCCAGUUUUGGGCUUGAAUUAUGGACCAGUCCAUUUUUCUGAAGUGUAUAUCAGCUGUAUAUCCCAGCUCUAUCCCCUGCGUUUUCUGUAUAAUUGUCGUAUACGCGACUGAAAAUCAGUCAUAUAUGCCCCCUUUAUCCCCCAGCUGAAUAAUCAGCUUCCUUUUCCUCAUAUCUUGCCAAAUAUCUGCUGUAUACAUGCGUAUACAGACUUGUUUCUUGUUUCUUAGUCCACUUUUUGGGCCUUGCAGGAUGCUUGGACUCGAACUCGAAGAUAUGCAAGAGGGGACUCCAAGUGAGGCAUUCAUGCAAAAUCAGAAAAAAAGAAAAGUGAAGAAUAAGGAGCAAUUCCAUCACUGUCACGAAUUCUGAUACAGUUAAUAACAAUAAUUAUUUGUUAGACUUAUCUUAAGAGUUUUAAGAGGAGGUGAGCAUCAACUACAGCUAUUAUAUGAAUAAAAUCACAUCUCAGCCAUAUGGAAGGAUGAAGAAAAGAUUAAAAAAAAAAAUGCAGAAAAGAAUGGGAAUUCCAUGCAUAAUCCGGGAGAAGUAUUAAAUUCCAUUUGAAUAUAUUCAAGGAGAAGAUUAACCGAGUGUUCCACAAUCAUUACAAAAGCUAAAGAUCACUUUUACUAUAAACAUGAAUUAUGGACUUGCCAGCUUUAGGCUAAAAUCAACAACAAGAACAAAACUUAAUACGAACUAGACAAGCACUUCAUCUCCUCCUUGGAGUAAGCCAAGAAAAUCAUUGAAAAAUCCUUAGCUUUUAGAAAAGUAAGUAAAUCACAAUAUUAAUCGAUCAACAAAGCUAUUUCCUCGGUUAAAUACAUCGAGCAAAAUAUAACGACGAGUCUACCAACUAAUUUCAAAUACUCUUAAAUCUCAACCCGCAGGACAGGUUUCAUCAUUUAACCUCGGACAGCCAAAUAGAAUCAAGACAUUUCGCACAACAUCAAAACUUCAACACUGAGCUAAUUGAGCAGGGAAACUUCAAUUUCUUCAUAACUUAACGAAUCAUAACUAAUUCGAAAAAAAAUAAAAAAAAAUCAAAAGAAACUUCAUAUAACCACAUGAAUAAGUCCUGCAGUUUAUGAGGGCGAAAUCAUUGGUUUGAUAGAUUUUUUUUUUCAUGUUCUGCGAGGGAGCAACUUCAUAUCCACACAAAUAGUUCCCAAAAUUAACAGCUUCUCACAUAAUGCAAUUAACAUCGUUCCCAAGCUCAAACAGAAACAUAUCCACUGUUACACUAACUAUGAAACUCAAACUGUAGACUACGAUCGGAAUCGAAGAAAAAAAAAAUCAUAAACAAGCCUAGAUUAUAGCAAUAAAAUCUAUGAAUCAAUUCAACCAUAUCGUUUCCGUCACAACACAAAUCUAUGAUUCUCAAAGAUUUUUAUAGCAAGUAAUCCCAUCAUUAUUACGACUACGAAUAAUACAAGAAGAUAGUGUUUACCUUUUUUCGAGCAGCGAACCGAACGACGAGUCGACGACGACUGUCGACUUCCGCCACCGAAAUUUCAAUUUGACUUUGUCGGAAUACAACCUUCGUCGGCACUGAUUUUUGAACUUUUGAGUUACGUAAUGUUAGAGGCACGCACCUCCAAAACCUCGAAAGAAUUAGGGCUUCAGAUUUUGAAAACACGGACUUGAAUUUUGAAACUCUUUUUUUGAGAAUUUGAAGUCCAUAGUGAGACAAAACAAAAGAGACGUUGGGCUAAUUAUUUGCCAAAAAUGGGCGAGCAUGUUCUGAAAAAAAAGAGAAAGUUGGAUGAAUUUUGCUGUUGUUGGGGCGUUGGUCGCGGUUGACGCAGCUAUUGCGUGCUGUUGUUAAUGUUGUUUUGCUGUUAUAGCCGUUGAAAUUGUUGCUGUCGCUGUUAAACGCUGUUAUGCGUUGGUGAGGGACGUUGAGACAGGUGAUGUUGUUUGCUGUGUUGAUAACGCUGUUGUUAAUGGGUAAAGGAGGAGAAAAAGGGGGAUGGGCCGGGUUGUUGAGGAGCUGGACCGAGUUAUGUAAUGGGCUGGUUGGUAUUGG